Molecule: transfer RNA, 68 nt
Filed under: Stathmopoda auriferella
Lineage: Eukaryota; Metazoa; Arthropoda; Insecta; Lepidoptera; Oecophoridae
Description: tRNA-His
Source: RNAcentral
AUUUAAAUAAUUUAAAAAAAAUAUUGAUUUGUGGGGUCAAAAAUAUGAAUAAAAGUUCAUUUUAAAUU